Molecule: ribosomal RNA, 544 nt
Filed under: uncultured fungus
Lineage: Eukaryota; Fungi
Description: eukaryotic LSU rRNA
Rfam family: 5.8S ribosomal RNA (bases 201-353)
Source: RNAcentral
AAGUCGUAACAAGGUCUCCGUAGGUGAACCUGCGGAGGGAUCAUUACAAGUGACCCGGUUUACCACCGGGAUGUUCAUAACCCUUUGUUGUCCGACUCUGUUGCCUCCGGGGCGACCCUGCCUUCGGGCGGGGGCUCCGGGUGUGCACUUCAAACUCUUGCGUAACUUUGCAGUCUGAGUAAAUUUAAUUAAUAAAUUAAAACUUUCAACAACGGAUCUCUUGGUUCUGGCAUCGAUGAAGAACGCAGCGAAAUGCGAUAAGUAAUGUGAAUUGCAGAAUUCAGUGAAUCAUCGAAUCUUUGAACGCACAUUGCGCCCCCUGGUAUUCCGGGGGCAUGCCUGUUCGAGCGUCAUUUCACCACUCAAGCCUCGCUUGGUAUUGGGCAACGCGGUCCGCCGCGUGCCUCAAAUCGACCGGCUGGGUCUUCUGUCCCCUAAGCGUUGUGGAAACUAUUCGCUAAAGGUGGUUCGGGAGGCUACGCCGUAAAACAACCCCAUUUCUAAGGUUGACCUCGGAUCAGGUAGGGAUACCCGCUGAACUUAA